Molecule: long non-coding RNA, 2024 nt
Organism: Sinocyclocheilus anshuiensis
Lineage: Eukaryota; Metazoa; Chordata; Actinopteri; Cypriniformes; Cyprinidae
Source: Ensembl
CAUAAAUCUGAUCAGACUAAAUACUUUUUUGGAGAUACGAAGGAUGCAAUACUACUCUAUAGGUACUCGAGAUUAACAUGAGAUUGGCAGAAACUGUGUGUUAUGUCCCCUUUAACAGAAAACACUUUUCAAGAACUACAACAAAUGUCGUACAAUAAAACAUGACAGAAGUAUUUUGAGCUUGUGUUAACCACAAACCUUAUUUCAGGAAUCAACAACCCAUUCGAGUGCUGCACAAAUCAGUCAAAAAAGGCACUUCAGUCUUGAUAUUCAUUAGAUAUUUAAUUGCGGACAUUUAUUUUUUGUUUUACAUAACUCUUGCUAUUACCAGAUAUAACCUUUUUAGAGCACUGUUCCUUAAAGAGCGCUUUCCCAUAUAGGAAAUUCCUAUAGGACAUUCAUCUCACCUAUUCAACUCUUCAUCUCAACAUAAAUAGUUAUGCUAAUUUACAUCCUUGUAUUUAUUUUACAGGUGACAAUAGUGUUGUGGUGUUGGUUUUAUGUGGGUUCAUUUCUGUAAUGUUAUCUGUCAUCAUCCUCAUGCUGUUCCUCCGGCUCUGCAGGAAGAAAGAGAAGGAAUGUUUUAAGCAUUUUGUCAGGCAGUGCUCGUUGGGUGAUAUGGAGGUGGACAGUGAGACUACACCUCCUACCAGCCAACCAAAUGAGCAGCCCCAUGCCCAGGAGAUGCUGUCACAUGGCAGCACACCCACCAAUCACAACACAAACUGCUCAUUUCAUCAGCCAAUCAGCUCAGAGCAGGCUGUGCCUCCAGCUGGCAAUUUAGGCCCUCUUCACAUCUACGGUCCCCAGACAGUUUUUGUUAGUUUGCUCAAUCAAUUUGGAUGGAAUGGCGGCGAGAAAAAAGCACACGAACUCCAAGAAGAAUCACUAAACAACACCAACGUGUCCUACCCUCAGUCUCCCCCCGUCCAUCUGUCUGAGGAGGAAAGGAGCAGAGAGAACGAUUUUAUCUUCUUCCCAUCUCAGGAGCAAGGUAAAGAGUGCCACAUAUCUAAAGAAGAGGUGCUGUGAGGGAUGAUGGAAUACUUGUGUCCGUUCUUCUUCCGUGCUGUUCAGCUGCUGCGUGGUUUGUUUUAACUGAUGCUUCGUGAGUACCCAGUAUUAAAACUCUAACCCUGGCAGGGGAUUUCAUCUAGAGAGCAACAGGCUGCGUUAGGGGAAGACCUGGGUGUUUGACUAACAGUAUGGACGACAUAAGUGUUGCGUAUGAGCUUGACAGUUCAUGCCAGCUUGGCAGUAUUACCCAUAAUGUACGUUUACGCGGAAACACUGAUUCUAAACCAUCAGAACGGCAGCGGGAUGCUGAUGUUGACUGCAUGAAGAGUCGACACCAAAGGCUCAUGAUGGUUGACUGACCCUCAGGAACAGUGUUUGAAAGCAAAGAGCAGCUCUAAAACCCUCAGAAGACCAAAGAUUCACAUAUGUUGAGAUAUUUAUUUUAUGUAAAGUUUAUAUUCGUCACAAAACAUUUUUAUUUAUUUGUAACUCUUAUUAAUUAUAUUACAGUUGUUAAAAACAAAAACUUUUUUUGUUCUCAUGCAGUUUAUCAGUGUUCGAUCGUGUUAAGUCCCUGGUUAAUGUUGUCAGUGUUCUUCCUCUUUUCUUUGGUUUUUAUGCGACAGACAUGAUGGAUUAUGCCAUCAAAAAGCCCUGACAUUUUGAUGGUGGUCUGGAAAUGUCAACGUUGUUUCUUCAUUCAGAAGUCAAUAAGCAAUGGCUUCAUCAUAUAUUAUGUUUUAUAUUCACUGUAAUACACAUUUUUUAUGCUUGAUAUUAAGUGUAAAGUGCAAUAAAAUCAAUAAAGGUUUAUUUUUUUGGUAUGUUGCACUGAGUACCUAAUUAAUUUCACUGCAAGAUAGCAAAUACAAAUACAACUACAAUUCCGUUUUCUAUUUUAUGGUAGCUGACACAAAAUAUAAUCUUGUAACUGACAUGCUAUAUUCCCAUAACAUAUUUAAAAUGUUUUGUUCAUUCUGUUAUCAUUUUAUACAUACAGCUUCUAU